Monodelphis domestica (gray short-tailed opossum) is the source of this 952-nucleotide long non-coding RNA. RefSeq lists it as uncharacterized. NCBI's taxonomy places the organism in Eukaryota, Metazoa, Chordata, Mammalia, Didelphimorphia, Didelphidae. The record is from RefSeq and is a predicted model, not a curated record.
AAUUCUUCCCUCAUUAUUUCAUCACAGGAAGAGGUGGGUCUUUGUCCAUAGAACAAAGAUGCCAACACAUCCUUUCCUCCUUGCUACAUGGCUGGGUCAGUCUAAGAUGGCUGCACAGCACAGUCUUCAUUGAACUUUUCUAUGGCUUCCAGGCCUGUCCUUAAUUCUAUUAUACUUUUAAAGAUCUAAACCAAAGAAGAAAUGAUCCAACCCAGUUUCAUAGCCUGGGGGAGCAACUAUUUCAGCCUGACUUUAGAAUCAAGCAGUUCUUGUUUAUUCUUGAAGGAUGCCAGUGAAGCCUGGAAAUGAAGACAAGAAGGGAGAGCAUUCCAGGUAUAGAGAACAUUCAGUCAAGGCAUGGAAUCAGGAGACGGUGUGUCAUAUGAGAGGAAUGAUGAGCCUUGCCUGGAGAAAACUCUGAUUAUGACUCCAGUGCCCUGAACUACACUUCGGAUGAUGCUUCCUUUUAUCAUCAGCAUUUCUAUGGUCUGAGUCACUCAAGGGUGUGUUUUACCACAGAGCCAAGAGAGUUCACCCCAAAGACAAUGGCCACCAAAGCAGUCAGCCGGAAGCUGGAAAAUGGCAGAUCAUCUUUAAUGUAGGGAGGAGCAAGGACUUGCUGCUGAGGACUCCCCUGGACCAGUUCCCCUCCUCGACUUAUCAGGGCCAGCUCAAGUCCUGUUCCACCUUUGAUGACAUUCUCAAUGUCUGGGAUGACUAUGAUGGCACCUGCAAUGAGUUCUUUUUCGACCCCAACCCUGGAGCCUUCCACACAAUCUUGACUUUCCUUCAGGUGGGGAAGCUUGGACUGCUCAGGGAGAUGGGUGCCAUUUCUUUUCAGGAGGAAAUCAUCAAGCAAAUUGGUUGUGGGGUGGUGGGUGAAGGGUGAGUAGAGAGAUCACUGGGAAAAUCAACCAAAUUCACCUUGAAUAAGUAUGUAGAUGAGUUUGAA